AGAUAGGUAAGCAACUCCUUCCGCUAUUCGGUCAUUGGUUCUGGGUGACCGUCAUUUUCCCACGAGAAGUGUUGUCAAAACACCGACACCAUGUUCCAUUGAUAGGAACUGCAAUAAAAAAGUGCAAUUCCAGUGCAAUUUCGGGGCAGAGAUUUGGCACCGAAAAUUUUGUCGGUGGAGCCAGUGCACUCACUAAUACCAUCAAACAAAACGUCAAAUCAAGACAAAAUGGCAGCCUGAAAAAUAUUCUAUCAACAUCCAAGAUUAAUUAUUUCAAAAUGCUACAUCGAAUCUUUGCUGGAGUUGUCGAUAAACCCGUUAUAAGGGUGUCAGCUCCAGAAGAAUAUACGAAAAAUCUGUUCUGUCGGAUAAAAUACCGUAAUGCAAGUCGAUCGGAUCAAAUCAGAUGUGAUCUUUGUGGCUAAUGUUACAAGAAGCUAGCUGGAAGCAUCAACUAACAUUUUAUGUGAGUAGCGCCGCCACCAGUUGGUGGAUUACACUGUCGAAGUAUGUUGGUUGGGGACCUUUGGAUGGAACCACUUUUCAUCGUUACGUUGUGGAAGAUGAAGACCAUGUCACUUCCAUCAAACCAAAAGGGAUUCUUAUGUACUGCUUUAUGGACAACUCAGUGCAUUAACUAAUUUGAUUGGUAAUACCAAAGGAAAUCAGUGUCAACUAAUCAGGGCAAACGAUCAACACAGUGUGAAAGAAUUGAAGAAAAAUAUUCUAUUGUAAUUUGUAAAAGGACAAUCGACGCGGCGAGUGUUUCGCUUGGAAUAAAUUUGAAAGUGAAUUCUGUGCGGCAAGGUCGAUAAGCAAGCUAAGCAGUUUAGGCCAACUAAGUUUGAAGAUUCGCCGGAUAUUAUCAGCAAGUAGUUUUAGCUAGAUCAGAAAAAACAGUUUCGGUGACGGUUUUUCCUAUAUCUAUUAUUAGGAGUAUGAAUGAAAUACUACACCUUGGUAAAGUAUGGUGCGAUUUAGAUUUAUAAUCAUUCGACGAUGGAAUAACUGUGAAUUGCUAAGUAUUACACUAAUGAGUUUCUUGGUUGCUCAACAGAAGGGCCCCAUUCUCACAGUGACUGUGGCCUAGUGACUAGAAGAAAAUUUUCUUCUAGGCACUAAAGGGCCGCUUUUUUCACCCCCGCUUAACUUUUAAACCAGGUUCAACGCACAGACAAACUUGGUUUAAAAGUUGAGUGACGAGGAAGAAAUCGGACCUAAGUGAUGUGACUUGGAGAAUAGGGCCCGAAUUAUAGCGACAAAUGUGUUGUUAGUUGUCGUUCCUUGAAGGAAAGUUACUUUAAAAAAUGAUAUAGGUACACGCAAACGAAUUGUACAUGUAAUAAAAUUAUCACAAAAGGAAAUAAUUACGCGCUUAUAAAAUCAUGAAUUGAGUUUAGUAGAAAAACUGAUUGGUCGAGUGAGAAUGCCUAUUCUAAAUUUUUAAACCAGGUCCAACUCACAGCGUGGUUGAAGAAAGCGGCUCGUCAUGAAAAGUAUAUAAAAUCAAUAUUGUUUGAACGAUCUAAUAAAUAA
This is a long non-coding RNA of Topomyia yanbarensis, 1536 nucleotides long. RefSeq lists it as uncharacterized. The record is from RefSeq and is a predicted model, not a curated record. Lineage: Eukaryota; Metazoa; Arthropoda; Insecta; Diptera; Culicidae. The transcript is spliced from 3 exons.